AAAGCGCACUAAUGCAUGGUUAAAGGUCAAGAGGGACUACGUGGAAGGGCUAAGUGAUUCCUUGGACUUGGUUCCGCUUGGUGCUUGGUAUGGGAACGGAUGUUUGAAGAUGGAAAGAUUACGACUCCCAAGGAGGCUGAGAGAUUCCAUCAUUUGUUUGGAUUUGGUGCAAGUGUUGCU
Molecule: long non-coding RNA, 180 nt
Organism: Nicotiana attenuata
Lineage: Eukaryota; Viridiplantae; Streptophyta; Magnoliopsida; Solanales; Solanaceae
Exons: 3
Source: RefSeq, a predicted model, not a curated record